This is a long non-coding RNA of Vicia villosa (hairy vetch), 393 nucleotides long. RefSeq lists it as uncharacterized. NCBI's taxonomy places the organism in Eukaryota, Viridiplantae, Streptophyta, Magnoliopsida, Fabales, Fabaceae. The record is from RefSeq and is a predicted model, not a curated record. The transcript is spliced from 3 exons.
CCCUAGUUUUAUUUUGCAAAAUCAACCAUUCAAGAUUUAACAACAAGGUCCUUCCACUCUAUUAAACUCUUCUUCAUAUUUGUCAACUACUACAUGGACAAGUAUCUGAUAACCUUUUUAAUUAUUUGUUUUGCUUCGGUGUUAGUUGCAGAACGAAUAAAAAUAUGUUUUCCAUCUACUGAUUGCCCUACGACUCCAGAGCUAUGUCAAAAAUUUUGUAAGAAUACACUUGGUGCUAUUGGUGGAUUUUGUAGAAAGGGAGAGGGUACAUGUUGUUGUAAUAAGACAUGAGAGAAGUUUUAUAAUAAUAUAGGUAGUAUAUCUAUUUGUUUGUACGUCUUUAAAAUUAUAAUGAAAAUAAAUUGAACAACGACGGGUUCUUUUCAUUUUUAA